RNAcentral lists this unclassified non-coding RNA (217 nucleotides) under soil metagenome. Its description in RNAcentral is "partial contains 5.8S ribosomal RNA, internal transcribed spacer 2, and large subunit ribosomal RNA". The record is from RNAcentral.
AACGCACGAGACCUGCGGACCUGCGGAAGGAUCAUUACUGAGUUUCACAACUCUCUAACCCUGUGUGAACUGAAGUCUGGUUGCUCAGGCAGGCGGCCCCCGGGGGGAGCCGCAGCUUCUCUGAAGCGCCUGCCGGAGGAUACCUAAACUCGUUUUAACAUAUAAUCUUCUGAGUAAUAAAAAAAAAAUGAAUCAAAACUUUCAGCAACGGAUCUCU